GGGCUACACACGUGCUACAAUGGCGCAUACAAAGAGAAGCGACCUCGCGAGAGCAAGCGGACCUCAUAAAGUGCGUCGUAGUCCGGAUUGGAGUCUGCAACUCGACUCCAUGAAGUCGGAAUCGCUAGUAAUCGUGGAUCAGAAUGCCACGGUGAAUACGUUCCCGGGCCUUGUACACACCGCCCGUCACACCAUGGGAGUGGGUUGCAAAAGAAGUAGGUAGCUUAACCUUCGGGAGGGCGCUUACCACUUUGUGAUUCAUGACUGGGGUGAAGUCGUAACAAGGUAACCGUAGGGGAACCUGCGGUUGGA
RNAcentral lists this ribosomal RNA (312 nucleotides) under Salmonella enterica. RNAcentral's name for it is "bacterial SSU rRNA". It matches the Rfam family "Bacterial small subunit ribosomal RNA", at positions 1211 to 1522 of the family's 1533-position model. The record is from RNAcentral. Lineage: Bacteria; Pseudomonadati; Pseudomonadota; Gammaproteobacteria; Enterobacterales; Enterobacteriaceae.